AUUGAACGCUGGCGGCAUGCCUUACACAUGCAAGUCGAACGGCAGCACGGGAGCAAUCCUGGUGGCGAGUGGCGAACGGGUGAGUAAUAUAUCGGAACGUGCCCGGUCGUGGGGAUAACGUAGCGAAAGCUACGCUAAUACCGCAUACGAUCUACGGAUGAAAGCGGGGGAUCGCAAGACCUCGCGCGAUUGGAGCGGCCGAUAUCAGAUUAGGUAGUUGGUGAGGUAAAGGCUCACCAAGCCGACGAUCUGUAGCUGGUCUGAGAGGACGACCAGCCACACUGGGACUGAGACACGGCCCAGACUCCUACGGGAGGCAGCAGUGGGGAAUUUUGGACAAUGGGCGCAAGCCUGAUCCAGCAAUGCCGCGUGCAGGAUGAAGGCCUUCGGGUUGUAAC
This 398-nucleotide ribosomal RNA is filed under the name uncultured bacterium. Its description in RNAcentral is "bacterial SSU rRNA". It matches the Rfam family "Bacterial small subunit ribosomal RNA", at positions 30 to 429 of the family's 1533-position model. The record is from RNAcentral.